UCUUAAUUUGAAUUAUUCUAUAUUUGCAGUUAUCAACAUAUUGCAGACGAAGAAAUCCAUGAGCAUUCUCGUUUUAUUUUAAUGCCUGAGGCUGAUUACGGAAAUUCUUGUACUUUUAUCGUUGUCAUUUAGAAAGAAACAAUUUAACUAUACCCUAGGUAUAGCUAAUAAUAAUAAUAAAACGAUUAAUUAACACAAUUUAUACUGACUUAUUGUAUUUCGAUGUAGAGUUCUAUUUAGAUGGAUAUCGAAAUUUCAAUCAUCUGAAUAGCAUCCGGCUACUGAGAGAAUUAGAUACGUUCCUGCAUUAAACGCAUCCUGGUGGUAAAUUUUGAAAUUAAAAUUUGAAAUUGCACCAUUUCGCGCGAUGUCAUACUGAGAAGAGGAAGCAACUGUCGAGAGCUCGUCAUAAAUGUGGAAAAUUUAAUAUACAAAACCAAGUCAUUCCUUCAAGAUAGCGAGAAUCUUAAUUUCAUACAUUUUACAUUCAUAAUCUAAUACAAUUUAUAGUGAUUUGUAAUUUUUUUUAAUGUGAAUAGAUGUUUAUUGCUUUUCAAUCAAAGUUACAUCGAGAAGUACAAACCAUUAUUGGAGUGAAAUUCUUUUCCUUUUCAUUGCCCUCGAUUUUUUUCUUUCCUUCUUUUCUCUUGAUAAUCUUUUUUACUUUCUUUUCCUUUUUUUUUCAUAUAUUAUUACCAGAAGAAAUAUAGUUUGAUAAUAAUCGUUCGAUUUUACGUUAAUAAUAAUUAUGCGAUAUUUUAUCUCAAUUUUGCCGUAAAGUUUUAUAUUUCAUUAUCUUAAAUUGUUCGAACAAUCAUUACUCCUUUCAAAACAAAUUAUAAUAAUUCACAUUUUGUUAAAGGUAUUUGACUGCUUCCACUUUUUUUGCUCCUCGAAAAGGACCUAAUGGUGCUUGAAAAGUCAAGAAUGUUUCUUCCAACCUCCAUCUCUUUCAUUGAAUUCGACGAUUUCGAUUUGAUGAGAAUUUCUCUUAAGAUGACUUAAUGAGAAUUUCUCUUGGGCAACAGUAUCGAUAACAACGUUGUUCGUAUGUAAUCAUACUCACUCAUGUGCCUAGGUUCUAAUCGGAUGGGAGAAAAGCAAUGGACACGAUGACUAGUUUAGCUUCUUCAGAAAUAAAAUUGAUCUUUUCAUAUUAUUUUAAUAAAUAAUCAUUUCUCAUAAAAUUGGCAAAUUGUAAAAUGUUCGGAAAUGAUAAAUACGAGAGGCAAAGAAAAAAAUAGUUGCGUUGUCUUAUCCUAUGGACUGUUUGCAAUGUGUGGAAUGUAAAGAAUCGGAAGCUCGUUUUGCCUCAUCCACCAGAUGAAGUCUUCGAUGUGGUAAGAUUAAAAGCUUUGACAUUACUGUGCUAUUUAAGUGGGACAAAUAAAUUUAUUAUUAUUAAAAUUGUUUAUCGUAAGAUGAUAUUUUAUACCGUGCAUCAACUUUGCUGGUUAAAAUAUUGAUUCAUGUAACAAAUUUGUAAGAUCUAUUUAAUAAAUGGUAUAUAUGUAUAUCUACCAUUUUAUUCUAUUAUCUUUUGUAAAUGAAUUAAGUAACUACUAACACUAUUACUUAUUUCACCACUUCAAUAUUUUUGUUUUUUUAAAAUAAAUUUUCUUCUAUAAUAAUAGAUAUAAUAUUGAUAUAUUCUGAUCAUAUUAAUAUGUGAUACUAAAUUAGAUUAAAUUUUGGAAACAUAAUCUUUUUAGUUUGAUUCUCUUGUAAAAAAAUUUCCAUAAAGUUAUAUUUUUUGUAUAUUCCUCAAAUUAAACGAAUUCCUCAAAUUUAACGAUCACUUGUUGGGAAAAGCUUUCAAACUAUAGAAGUGGUUAAUAUGCAUGUAUGUAUAUUAUAAUAUUGUAUGUAUUUAUUUAUUUUAGUCUAGAAAUUGAACUUGGUUUUACAUAAAUUAUGAACAUAAAUCACAACUAAGAUAUACAGAGUAAAUUAAAAUAUUAAUACCACAGAAAGUCCAAUAAUUUCAAAUAUCGUAAACUUGAAAGAAACUGUAUUAAUUGAAGGAGCUGUAAUUUAAUUUAUAUUGUAACAAACGAUUUUUUUAUUAAACACUCAUAACGCUCGCUUUUCUUCAUUGCUGUGAUUAAGUGAUGCGGUUUAUUUAUCGAUUUAAAAUUAUAAAUAUCUUACGGCUAUUAGAGAGUAUAUCAUGAUACUCAAUCAUAUCAUCAAAUCAUCAAUUAAAUCAUAUCAUACUACAACACAAUAAAAACAUUAUUUAUUAUGUAAGAUUAUAUAUGAUAAUACUGGUAUAAAUGUAAUGAAUGUACACAUAUAGUAAAUAUAUAUACUGGAAUAUAGUGACGGAAAUUUUGCAAAAAAAUAUUUAUAUUUUUUGAAAAUGUCUAUUCCAAGCUAACUAUGAAGAGCUCAUUUUUGGGUAACAAAUAUCCAUUUGUAAUGAAGUAUUGUUCUAUGAAUUUCUGUGGUCUCUUUCUGUCACGCCAAAAAAACUCUGCUCUGUAAUAGAGUCGUAGAGCUCUUUGGGAGAACUUUCCAUGUGAGGUAAGGCUACUUCAUUCAUCUUUGUUAACCUAUGGUAACAAGGUAUGUCAUUAGUUCCUGUUUCAUUAUCAGAUAAUAACGAGUAACAUAGAACACAAUGUACAAAUAUAAAUACGUACAAAUCCGAAAAUUCUAUUAGAGCAAGAAUAUAUCGUAAUAUGUAUCUCUGUGUUUGUAAAUAAUAAUAAAUGAUAAUUGUUAUUAAUGUAUAAGGUGCUUCUAUCUUAUAUUUUAUCAGAGAAAGUAUUUUAUUAAUCAAUUUUGUUUGAUUUAUGCGUGCUUCUAAUUAGAUUUUGUCGUGGUGUAUCCAGUUCUAUAUAAAUUGUUCUAAAUAAAUUGAAAAUUUUAGGGUAAUUUGAUAAUUAUGUAAUAUAAUAAUGUUCCAUUUCUUACAGGAAGGCAAUCUUAAAAUUCAGUACAUUGUUAAUUCAGUAUAUAGUAUGAGACUAUCCUUUUAUUUGGCGCUAAACACGUAUUCUUUCACCCUUCUCAUAACUUUAAAGAUAUUGCUCGUCAGAAUAUUAAAAUAUUAUUUGUUUUAAGUUAUAUUACAUAUUUGACUUCUAAAAAACUUCUUUAAUCAUAUCUUUGGACCUGACAAGUUCUUCCCACUUUUAAUUAUUUUAUGUUAAAAUAUGCUGCAUGAAUCUUUUUAACAUAAUUUACAGAAAUAUAUUUAUUAUAUUCUUUGCUUCUGACCUGUAAGAUAUAGUAAUUUAUGCAAUGAAUUUCACAAAGACAACGCACGAUGUACGACAACGUGUUAUAUGCACGAAGGAUUGCGACCUGUACUUCGAACACAACACCCAUUUGCAAUCUACGAGAACAUCACGUGUAAUACAACGGGUUCAGUUUAUAUUUGAAAGAGCCACGAAAUCGAACCACCCUUGAUACUCGUGGAACCUGGUUCCAGCGUAUCCGGUUACGAGAUUCCAGACUGCACGUGCCUAUUGUCGUCUGUUGCUUCACCUGACACGUGGCAAUUUUCAAUUCCCCAGUUCGUACGAUGUGGACUGCUUGACUUUUUCAUGAGAUACUUGACAGAGGAGGUAACCCUAAUCGAAUCCCCUUUGCCUAGCAGCGUCUGUUGUUUUAUCCUUUUUAAUUAGAGCGCAUGAUUGCGAGCGAACGAGUGUUAGGCAAUAUGAACAUAUUUAAUAAAUUAAAAAGGUUGUUGUAUCUGUCGGUUAAAAUAUGAAUAAACCACGGUAAAAAAUGUAACGACACGAUAACGUAUAUAAGACGUGACAAAACUUAUUUCGAAAAAUUAUGAAAAUAUCAUGCGACAAACAUUUUUUUUGUUUCGUAUAUAUACGUAUAUAAGACGUGACAAAACUUAUUUCGAAAAAUUAUGAAAAUAUCAUGCGACAAACAUUUUUUCUGUUUCAGACUACUUCUUUCUCAAGAUAAAGUGUGUUGCCUACCCUCGUGCGUUGCUGUUAUCAGCAAAAAACACGAAUCUCUUCCUAAAUUCAUUUAUAAACAAAAAUAGCUUUAAAAAUCUGUAUAAAGCUUACAAUAUUAACUAUAUAUAUAUAUAUUACUGAACUAUAUAAUAUACUUAAUACAACAUAAUAAAACUGUACUUAAUAUAAUAAUAUAAUAACUACUAUAUAUACUAUAUAAUGUUACUUGACGAUGUGUCCGUGUUAUUUUAAUAUAUUUUAUACUUUUUCCAGGUAUUGUAUAUAAUACAUUGGCAUUAUGAGGAAGGAGAAGUGAGAAGUUAGGCAAAAUAUGGGAAGGAAGUUAUGAAAAAGCCUUUGUUCAAAAGAUAUGUGGCAAAGACAAGGUAUAUGAAAAUGACAGGAGUAAAGUACAAAGAAGUAAAAUACGAAAUAAAAUACAGGACUUUCUUAUUGAGGAAGGGGCGAUGAUUGUGUAUGUAAGGGUACAUUUCACUGAUUUUGAGGAAAUUUAGGAUGCUCUGUGAUAAAAUCGACUUCUCGAACAUCGAGGGUGGUUCGGUACUGGAGUCGGGAUAUAAAAGCGAAGGUGCAGUUUCUAGAUCCGAAAGAGUGGGUCAAGUGAUAUCGACCAUGCAGAAGCAGAAGAGAUAUAGGAAGAUUCGGUUUCGCGAUUCAUUCUGGGAGUAUCUUUGUUUAGCCUGAACAGCCAACUGCUAUAUUUGCUCUUUGUCGUACUAUAGCGUGUCGUCUACCAGACGAGACAGACCAACUAUAUUUGUCUAUGCUUUCUGUUGACCUAUAGCAAACGUGGCAGCGACGCAAUUCGUUGCUCAACCAUUAAUAGCUUUUCCCGUAUUCAGCCUUUUUCAUCUUUGACGUCAGCAUUGGCCAUGUCUUGCCGGAUGAACUUGCACGAAGAAUGCAUUUUAUUUAAGACGACGAAUGAUUCGUCUCGAGUACACGAGUCAUGCGAAAGUCGUAUACGAAUCAGAACACAAAUCUAGAAUGUGAGAAAUGAUUUAUGUUCGUUAAUUAUCUAGAUACCGUUUCAAUUUAUAAACGGAUUCUGGCUUUACCAUACAAUCAGCGAUUGAUUCGUUCAUUUACGUUUCUUAAUUACUUGUCCAAAUCCGUGAUAAAUUAACCACGCGAAUGGAAAAUUUCUGUGAAAAUUUUGUGAGUAAAAUUCUUUAAACGAAUAUUUGAUUCCCAUAUAGUACAUCAAAGUUUUGAGAAAGAUUUCUAGUAAUAAUAGUAAUUCGGGUUUAAUAAUAAUUUUUGAAACACUUAACGGUUUUAAGAUAAUCAAGUUUUUAAACAAAAAAUGUUUUUACAUUCUAAUAAAAUUAUUUAUUCAAUGAAGAGCACGUAAAUAGUCUUCCUAAAAGAAUGUUAUAGAAAGUAUUGCGAAUUAUAAAAUAUAUAAAUGUAACUUCUAGGGAAAUAGCAUAAAAUUACUCUAUUUAAGAACAAUUACGCUAUAUUAGACAAUAACCCGAUAGAGUUUGUUAUAUUACUCGGUUUGUCGCCUUUCAAGAAGGUGUUUAUAAAAGUCUCACAAUAAAAGAAUUUUAAAUAUAGUACAGAUGUACGCAUUAUCUUCUUUCUCAAAUGGAAUCAUGAAAAAUAUUGAAUUUGUCGAACAUUUCAUAUACGAGCAUUGUGUUUUUCAAUAUUCAUUUAUUUCCAAUCGUGAUACACAGCUAGGUAUCCGUAUAAAUCAUAAAGAUAAGAUAAUAUCAAAAACGAAUAUCGCUCUAGUAGUAACAUUAAGAAAAGCGAGGCAAAGCAUAAACUUUAUAAAUUUUAUCGAAACCAUCCUCUGUACUAAAAUUCCAUCCCUUUUUUAAUAUAAUUGUGCUGAAUAAUACUAUACAUAGCAUACGUUAAUUCAUUCAUUGUUAUGCACAACAACGAUUACAAUCUAUAACGCGAGGUUUAUGCGUUUUAUAGUGUUUCGUUUGCGAGGUCAUACGCCUUUCCACCUUCAUUGAUGCGAUCCUCGACC
Molecule: long non-coding RNA, 5943 nt
Organism: Bombus terrestris (buff-tailed bumblebee)
Lineage: Eukaryota; Metazoa; Arthropoda; Insecta; Hymenoptera; Apidae
Exons: 5
Source: RefSeq, a predicted model, not a curated record